RNAcentral lists this ribosomal RNA (738 nucleotides) under Carabhydrus andreas. RNAcentral's name for it is "partial 16S ribosomal RNA". The stretch from base 1 to 532 matches the Rfam family "Bacterial large subunit ribosomal RNA", at positions 1923 to 2925 of the family's 2925-position model. Lineage: Eukaryota; Metazoa; Arthropoda; Insecta; Coleoptera; Dytiscidae. The record is from RNAcentral.
UUUAAUGGCCGCAGUAAUUUGACUGUGCAAAGGUAGCAUAAUCACUAGUUUUUUAAUUAAAAGCUUGAAUGAAUGAUUGGACGAAAUAAGAUCUGUCUUUAAUUAAAAUAUAGAAUUUAAUUUUUAAGUAAAAAAGCUUAAAUAUAAAUAAAAGACGAGAAGACCCUAUAGAUCUUUAUAUAAUGGAAUAUAUUUUUAGUUAAGAUUAUUUAAUAAAUUAUAUUCAAUUAUAUUUUAUUGGGGUAAUAAAAAGAUUAAUGAAAUUCUUUAUUCAUUUUACAUUUAUUUAUGAAUAAGUGAUCCUUUUUUAUGGAUUUAAGAUUAAGUUACCUUAGGGAUAACAGCGUAAUUUUUUUUGAGAGUUCAUAUCGAUAAAAAAGUUUGCGACCUCGAUGUUGGAUUAAAAAUUUAUUUUAGGKGUAGUAGUUUAAAAUUUUGGUCUGUUCGACCAUUAAAUUUUUACAUGAUCUGAGUUCAGACCGGUGUAAGCCAGGUCGGUUUCUAUCUUUAUUAAAAUAAAAUAUUUUAGUACGAAAGGACCAAGUAUUUAAUAUAAUAAUAUUUAUUUUAAAGUUUUGAAUAUUAAAAUUAUUUUGGCAGAUUAGUGCAAUGAAUUUAGAAUUCAUAAAUGUAAUAUUAUUACAUAUAAUAUUGUUUAUUUUAGAUUUAUUAAUUCCAUUAAUUUGUUUAUUGUUAUUAGUGAUUUGUGUUCUUUUAGGGGUAGCUUUUUUAACUUUA